AUGUUGCAAGAACUUUCGUUGCACAACCCAAACGAUGAAGGCUAUACUUUGGCUCGAGGAGUGAUCCACCAUCAGAUAAAAAUAUGGUUGGGCGGUCACCGGGAAGCACAUGAUGCAGUCUUGCAUGCACUACAUAACAGUGCAAUUGGAGGUCAUUUCGGGGUGGAAGACACAUUCCAAAGAGUGUGUAGCUUUCUUUCGUGGUCUCGGAUGCGCCAAGAUGUGCACCGCUUUGUACAGACCUGCCAAAUCUUGCAACAGGAAAAAGAUGAGCAUGUGAAGUCGUCGGGUUUGCUCCAACAUUUGUCGUAUGGCCUAAAGCCUGGCACACCAUUACCAUGGACUUCAUCGAGAAAUUACCACUGUCUCAAGAGUUCUAGACAAUUUUAG
This 390-nucleotide ribosomal RNA is filed under the name Triticum aestivum (bread wheat). RNAcentral's name for it is "partial small subunit ribosomal RNA". The record is from RNAcentral. Lineage: Eukaryota; Viridiplantae; Streptophyta; Magnoliopsida; Poales; Poaceae.